GCCGGAGUGGUGAAAUUGGUAGACGCAGAGGACUCAAAAUCCUCCGGGCCCUGUGCCCUUGAGAGUUCAAGUCUCUCCUCCGGCACCA
This 88-nucleotide transfer RNA is filed under the name Deltaproteobacteria bacterium. RNAcentral's name for it is "tRNA-Leu". It matches the Rfam family "tRNA". Rfam says of the family: Transfer RNA (tRNA) molecules are approximately 80 nucleotides in length. Their secondary structure includes four short double-helical elements and three loops (D, anti-codon, and T loops). The record is from RNAcentral. Lineage: Bacteria; Pseudomonadati; Myxococcota; Myxococcia.